GGGUAAACGGACUGGACGGGUAGCUUGUCUCCCACAGGGAAACCCCACUUCAGCAGAUAAAUGCUGGUUCUUUGUAACUCUCCGUGAUGGCAUUCCCCAUUGGAACAGACCCAAACGCAGAUCGAGUAAGGUGAAUAACAAAGGAUUUAUUUUCUUAGAGGCAAAUGCGGAAAAAUACUAGGAACAGGGUGGUGAGGGCGGUCCAGAAUCCCAGGUGAGGUGCAGGUUCUUAGGAUCCAGGGGGUACAGAAAAACGUGGCUAGGUUCCCGGGUGAGUGCACAGGAAAACACAACCCACCUGGGGUCCGUUUCAAGUAGGAGGUUUAACAAACUCUGAGUCAUAUAUAUAUAUAUAUAUAUGUAUAUAUAUAUAAAAUGUUUCUUCUAUAAACAUUUUCCCUCAACAAUGAUAACA
Molecule: long non-coding RNA, 415 nt
Organism: Gasterosteus aculeatus aculeatus (three-spined stickleback)
Lineage: Eukaryota; Metazoa; Chordata; Actinopteri; Perciformes; Gasterosteidae
Source: Ensembl